AAGAAAAACACAGGGGGCGACCAAAGCUCCCUCAUGAACCCUAGUUCUUGCAAUUCUACCAAAUUGAUAGGGAAAAUCGGCUCCAAAUCGAAAUCCAAACUCAGAUUAGUGAUCACCUUCGUGAAAGGAUCAUAAGGCAAGGAAACCGGGACGUCAAGCGGACAAGUUGUUGGUGAUACGCGUUUGAAAGGAGCGCUUUGAAGGUACUCCGGGUAUGCUAACGGAUGAUGAUCAAGCAUGGAACAAAGACCGAACGCACCAUUUUUGAAGCUUCCGCCGUGAUCUAUUUUGUUUAGACU
Helianthus annuus (common sunflower) is the source of this 299-nucleotide long non-coding RNA. RefSeq lists it as uncharacterized. The transcript has 3 exons. The record is from RefSeq and is a predicted model, not a curated record. Lineage: Eukaryota; Viridiplantae; Streptophyta; Magnoliopsida; Asterales; Asteraceae.